UACGUAGGGUGCGAGCGUUAAUCGGAAUUACUGGGCGUAAAGCGUGCGCAGGCGGUUCGUUAAGUUCGAUGUGAAAGCCCCGGGCUCAACCUGGGAACUGCAUUGGAAACUGGCGAGCUUGAGUGCGGCAGAGGGGGGUGGAAUUCCGCGUGUAGCAGUGAAAUGCGUAGAGAUGCGGAGGAACACCGAUGGCGAAGGCAGCCCCCUGGGCCGACACUGACGCUCAGGCACGAAAGCGUGGGGAGCAAACAGG
RNAcentral lists this ribosomal RNA (253 nucleotides) under uncultured bacterium. Its description in RNAcentral is "partial 16S ribosomal RNA". It matches the Rfam family "Bacterial small subunit ribosomal RNA", at positions 524 to 776 of the family's 1533-position model. The record is from RNAcentral.